Molecule: ribosomal RNA, 626 nt
Filed under: Clostridioides difficile
Lineage: Bacteria; Bacillati; Bacillota; Clostridia; Peptostreptococcales; Peptostreptococcaceae
Description: bacterial SSU rRNA
Rfam family: Bacterial small subunit ribosomal RNA
Source: RNAcentral
GGAUAAUAUAUUUGAGAGGCAUCUCUUGAAUAUCAAAGGUGAGCCAGUACAGGAUGGACCCGCGUCUGAUUAGCUAGUUGGUAAGGUAACGGCUUACCAAGGCGACGAUCAGUAGCCGACCUGAGAGGGUGAUCGGCCACAUUGGAACUGAGACACGGUCCAAACUCCUACGGGAGGCAGCAGUGGGGAAUAUUGCACAAUGGGCGAAAGCCUGAUGCAGCAACGCCGCGUGAGUGAUGAAGGCCUUCGGGUCGUAAAACUCUGUCCUCAAGGAAGAUAAUGACGGUACUUGAGGAGGAAGCCCCGGCUAACUACGUGCCAGCAGCCGCGGUAAUACGUAGGGGGCUAGCGUUAUCCGGAUUUACUGGGCGUAAAGGGUGCGUAGGCGGUCUUUCAAGUCAGGAGUGAAAGGCUACGGCUCAACCGUAGUAAGCUCUUGAAACUGGGAGACUUGAGUGCAGGAGAGGAGAGUGGAAUUCCUAGUGUAGCGGUGAAAUGCGUAGAUAUUAGGAGGAACACCAGUUGCGAAGGCGGCUCUCUGGACUGUAACUGACGCUGAGGCACGAAAGCGUGGGGAGCAAACAGGAUUAGAUACCCUGGUAGUCCACGCUGUAAACGAUGAGUAC